RNAcentral lists this ribosomal RNA (116 nucleotides) under Clostridia bacterium. Lineage: Bacteria; Bacillati; Bacillota; Clostridia. The record is from RNAcentral.
GUAGGUGUUGAUUACGGUGAGGGUCCACCCGUUCCCAUUUCGAACACGGUAGUUAAGCUCACAUGUGCUGACAAUACUUGGCUGGCGACGGCCCGGGAAGAUAAGUAACGCCUACA